RNAcentral lists this long non-coding RNA (930 nucleotides) under Homo sapiens (human). RNAcentral's name for it is "JUN divergent transcript". Lineage: Eukaryota; Metazoa; Chordata; Mammalia; Primates; Hominidae. The record is from RNAcentral.
ACAGUGACUGCUCUUUUUCCCUCCUGCCACAGUCCAGGGUAGGAGAUACUUCUCCAGGCUCUCACUUAUGGGGGCUUUCCUGCUGGCUACAUCACUGAAAUGGAAUCUCCUAGUGGCCCUUCUCCCUCUACAGCUCUGGUGUUACACUGAAAAACUAGAAGUUUCAAAACAGACAAGGGAAAAAGAGAAACAUCAGAAAGUCUGAUUAAAGUAGAAGCAUCAUAUUUCUAUCAACGUAUCCACUGUGCUUGGACUCUGUAAUAUUCACCGGCAGGAAAACCCAAGGGAAUGACUACUAUGACAUCUGAUGGAAAUCUUCUCCAAGGGCAACUCUGAGUGGUGAAGACAGGAUGGAGUCAGUUGACUCUAGACCUUGUCCCAGUCUACUACUUUCUACUAUGACCUCCAGCAGGGCUGGGAGCUACACAGGCCAGGGACUUUGUUUUCUUCCCCGUCUUUCCUCAGGGCCCAUCACAGAAAUGCCUUUAGGCCCUCUUCACCACCUCACAUCUGCAUCUCAACUCCAGGCAGCAGAGUUCAUAUCAAGGGCCCAUGUUUUAACUGAAUAUAAUGAAUUUUUUUUUUCACCUUGGAAGAGUCUUAGAGGCAAGAUUAGAAUGUUCAUCUAAAAGGAGUGCAAAUUUCUUCAACCAUUCCCACGGAGGAAGGUGAGCUCAGACUCACUUUCAUCUGUCCCUCUCCCCCAUGUGCUUGGCCAGGGUAAGGGACCUCAGGAGGGCCCCCCCAGUCUCCCAGACAGCUGACUCUCCCUGUGUAAAUAAUUCUAAUGCUCUCAGUUAUUCACUACUCAUCUGAGCCACCUAUUGAACUAUAAGCUUCAGAAUUAGCUUUGUACAACCCACACCCAGCACAGGGUCUGGCAUUUAUAUGUGUUCAUAAAUGCAACAAAUAAACAUUUAUUAAAAUGCA